CCGUUCUGGUCGGGGGGACUCUAGAGAUUAGAGUUUGAUCCUGGCUCAGAUUGAACGCUGGCGGCAGGCUUAACACAUGCAAGUCGAGCGGUAACAGGGGGUGCUUGCACCCCGCUGACGAGCGGCGGACGGGUGAGUAAUGCUUAGGAAUCUGCCCAGUAGUGGGGGAUAGCCCGGGGAAACCCGGAUUAAUACCGCAUACGUCCUACGGGAGAAAGCAGGGGAUCUUCGGACCUUGCGCUAUUGGAUGAGCCUAAGUCGGAUUAGCUAGUUGGUGGGGUAAAGGCCUACCAAGGCGACGAUCCGUAGCUGGUCUGAGAGGAUGAUCAGCCACAUCGGGACUGAGACACGGCCCGAACUCCUACGGGAGGCAGCAGUGGGGAAUAUUGGACAAUGGGGGCAACCCUGAUCCAGCCAUGCCGCGUGUGUGAAGAAGGCUUUCGGGUUGUAAAGCACUUUCAGCGAGGAGGAAGGCCUUAAAGUUAAUACCUUUGAGGAUUGACGUUACUCGCAGAAGAAGCACCGGCUAACUCCGUGCCAGCAGCCGCGGUAAUACGGAGGGUGCAAGCGUUAAUCGGAAUUACUGGGCGUAAAGCGCGCGUAGGUGGUUAGGUAAGCGAGAUGUGAAAGCCCCGGGCUUAACCUGGGAACGGCAUUUCGAACUGUCUGACUAGAGUGUGGUAGAGGGUAGUGGAAUUUCCUGUGUAGCGGUGAAAUGCGUAGAUAUAGGAAGGAACACCAGUGGCGAAGGCGGCUACCUGGACCAACACUGACACUGAGGUGCGAAAGCGUGGGGAGCAAACAGGAUUAGAUACCCUGGUAGUCCACGCCGUAAACGAUGUCAACUAGCCGUUGGGACUCUUGAAGUCUUAGUGGCGCAGCUAACGCACUAAGUUGACCGCCUGGGGAGUACGGCCGCAAGGUUAAAACUCAAAUGAAUUGACGGGGGCCCGCACAAGCGGUGGAGCAUGUGGUUUAAUUCGACGCAACGCGAAGAACCUUACCUGGCCUUGACAUCCAGAGAACUUUCCAGAGAUGGACUGGUGCCUUCGGGAACUCUGAGACAGUGCUGCAUGUCGUCGUCAGCUCGUGUCGUGAGAUGUUGGGUAGUCCGUAACGAGCGCAACCCCUAUCCUGCUGCUAGCAGUAUGCUGAGAACUCAUGGGACUGCGGUGACAACGGAGGAAUGUGGUAUGACGUCAGGUCAUCAUGUCUAACCGUUCAGGGCUUACACCACGUGUCUCUACCAAUUGG
RNAcentral lists this ribosomal RNA (1254 nucleotides) under uncultured bacterium. RNAcentral's name for it is "bacterial SSU rRNA". It matches the Rfam family "Bacterial small subunit ribosomal RNA", at positions 1 to 1238 of the family's 1533-position model. The record is from RNAcentral.